UGACAGUUGGAUUGGGACAUGCAAACUGUUUGAAGGUUAUUGAAGGUACCUAGCACACGAUAGUUUUUGGCUCCCAGGGAGAGGUUGGAUGAGGGUCAGGACAUAUCACAUAAGGCCUGUCAAUCAAAAAUUUGCAAGAUUUUUGUUUAAUAUCUAGAGAAAUUGGCCCUUAUGAGAUAAAGAAUAAUUGGUCACUUGAUUCCCCCUUAGAGACACUUCAUUAAUUCCCUCAAUUUAUUUGUUUCCCUUUUGUUUUUUAGCUAAACCAGCGCAACUAUUUUUCUAAUAUUCUUUAUAUUCAAAGUAUGUAAAUUGAGAAAUUAAGGGAGAACCUAUAAGAAACAUUUUGUAAGGGCAGUCUCCUGCUCUUGCUCAGUAGAAUUUAAUAUAGUUUUAUUGUCAACUCUAACUUUACUCUUUUUCUAUGUGAAAUAUCACAUAUUUAUUCUCCACUUUGUGCUGUUCACCAGAAAGGAUCUCUCUCUUGCAUCUCUCCUAGCUACAUUCCACUUUUGCACUUACCUGAAUCUUUUGCAUAUGGUAGUUGGAAGCUAAGGGAAGAGGGGUCAUUCUCUCAAGUUCUGGUUAAGCUGCGGUCUUAGGGAGGCGCUGUAAACACGAGUCCCCGAUGUGAGGCUUUCACAAACAUACAUGCCCCUCCUCCAAAGGUAAUGCUGGGCUUCGAACCGAUUCUGCCCUUCUCAAGGCACAGGUUUUUUUUUUCCUCUUCCUUCCUCUCUUGCAACCACAGUGGAUUCCCAUCUGUGCCCUCAAGCAACAGGUUUUGAUGAUCUUGCACUUUAAGGCUUUAUUCCACAUGGGAGUAAGAGAAGAUGACACUGAGUGGAUAUUAGGCAGUAGAUGCUGUUUCACUUCCCAGACAGAACCAUGAGAGAAGCUUUCCGAGGGUUUUGUCCAGUCUUCCCUGUGAGCACCUGGUGGGGUUCUUGAGGAAGAGGUUGCAAAAGGAUACAAAAUUACAUUUGCCUGUAUCCCCACGAGGCUUCCAGCUCUCAUGUUCACCCAUACUCAGACUUUAGCAAUUAUUUAAAAUUUUCUGCUUGCUGCUUCUUACCAGCUUAUAUUGCCACUACGUAUCUUAUGUCUCAGUCAGGGUUUGAGAAAUUCCACAGACAUUGAAUUCCAACUAAAUCUAUGUAGACCACUGCAACAGCCAUGAGGAUCUAGAUAUGCUGAGAUCAAGCUCUUUACGACAUGGCUGACCAGGCCUCACAACCUCUUCUUGAUCCAGGAGGAAUGAUCAAAUUGAUAAAUGAAAUUCAUGCUGAAAAAAAGAAAAACAGUCAAGAAGCAAUUGAAAAGGCUAAAGUUAGUAGAUAUAGAAAUUGGAAAAAAGAAAAAAGAGAGAGAAGGGAUGAAUAUCAGAGAGCAUUUUGUGGGGGAAAUUAUAGGGGAAAAAACAAGAAGGAAUCCUCAGCGUGAAUCCAGAAAACAAGGAGGUUCAAUGAUGACCCUAACGUGAAGGAUGAACAAUCAUGACAGGAACAAGAAAAACAGGGGUGCCCCACUUGGCAAUAAAGGAGACCUCAUGAAUUGGAUAUCUGAGCACCGGAUGCACAAAAGUAAUCAGAAAUCAGAGGAACUUCCAAAGAAAGCUAUUAUCAUAAUUUUAUUCUUCAAAUUUUAACGUGAAAACAUUUAUUUGAUCUCUUUAGGUUUGUUAAUAAAGACUGUAUAAAAUGUAUUUGAUUGCAGUGUAAAAAAAAACAAAUCUAUUGUCUUAUUUUACCAAGAAUAGAAACAAUAGAUUAUGCAGUCUUUCACAUCCUUUAAACUUGAUAUUUGAUCUCCAUAUUUGGAAUCAACACGAGAUGUAUGUCACUUUGCUCAGAACAGAGAUUAGAUGAAACAGUAAUGACAUUUUCAAUGCUAUCUUAUGCUAUAGUGCACCAAUUAUUUUCCUGAUUUAGCUUCAGCUGCUAUAACAAAAAUCCUAUAAAUUGCAUGGCUUUAAAAACAAACAUUUCUUUCCUACAGUUCCAGAGGCUGAAAGUCCAAGAUCAAGGUACUGCCAGAUACAGUGUCUGGUGAGGACCAAAUUCCUGAUUCAUAGACAGCAGUCUUCUCUCUGUGUCCUCACACAGCAGGAGGGAUUUCCCUGGAGAACACUGCCUAAUACAGUACACAAUAGCUUAAAAAUUGACUUUUAGUCAGAAACUUGACUCUGAUGAAUUGCAAAAGAAACUGCUUUUCUUUUUUUUUUUUUUAUCCUUUGGGAGUUCUUUUAUGUGUCCUAAUUUUAUUUCUAGUAUCUUAGUACAUAAUCACCCAGAGUGUGAAGCAUCCUAACAUGCAGCAAACAGAGCCAAGUCUGUAAUAAAAACAGAUGACUGAGAAAAGAUAUAUAGUAAAUAACAAUGAAGACACACAGGCACAAGGGAAAAACACUGAGGGAAGGCUGUGUGAAGAUAAAAGCAGAGAUUGGAGUUUUUCUGCUACAAGCCAAGGACACCUGGAACCACCAGAAAGUGAAAGAGUGCUUCAUCUUCAGAGAGAUUCACGGAAAGGACUCUGACAAGUACUCUAGAAUACAGGUUUCUGACAACUUUAAUAUCAUAACAAUGAAAUGGGUAAGAAUUUCCAGAACAAAUGGAAAAACUGGAUUUAAGCAGAAUAAGAAUUAAUAACAUGGGAUUGAAUGAACUGAU
This 2669-nucleotide long non-coding RNA is filed under the name Equus caballus (horse). RNAcentral's name for it is "lncRNA (ENSECAG00000049644.1)". Lineage: Eukaryota; Metazoa; Chordata; Mammalia; Perissodactyla; Equidae. The record is from RNAcentral.